Long non-coding RNA from Pipistrellus kuhlii (Kuhl's pipistrelle), 1142 nucleotides. RefSeq lists it as uncharacterized. NCBI's taxonomy places the organism in Eukaryota, Metazoa, Chordata, Mammalia, Chiroptera, Vespertilionidae. The record is from RefSeq and is a predicted model, not a curated record. The transcript is spliced from 4 exons.
GACAGAAGGAGAGUUAUAUAAUCAAGACUGGAGGAAAGCUGGGUUGUAUGCUGACUGGAGAAAGGAACAUUUCAAAGCAGUGGCUGUUACUGUGGAUCCAGACACAGCUCAUACCAAACCCAUCUCUUAUCUGAGAGUAGAACACAUGUUUCUUCAAUAGAAAAUGUUUCUCAGAACAAUGACGGCCCCACACAGCAGGAGCAAGAGGACACCUUCAGUGUUCUGGGCCAGCAUUGCUUUACCACAGGGAGACAUUGCUGGGAGGCAGAAGUAAAUGUGGGAGCAGAAGGUGGACCUGGAACCUGAUGGGCACUGGGUGUCUGCUCAGAUACAGUGAAGAGAGAGGGGUGGUUUGUAGAAAGUUCAGAAAAGAGUUUCUGAGUGGUGGCAUACAAGGAAGGGGAAGUCAAGGUUCUCACUUCCUAGUCAGAGUCUCUGUCGCUGAGGCAACACCCCCACAGGAUAGGAGUGUUCCUGGACUGGGAGGCUGGGGACAUGGUUGAUGGAUCUUACUUCUAUUCCUUCACUAGAAUCAAAUUCUGUGGGGUCCUCCGUCCUUAUUUUAGCCUUCAGGGUCCUGGUACAUCUGUGGCCAUCUGCUUAGGUUUAGAUCACAUUGAAAAUUGUCCUGAUUCUUCUCCAAAGAGCUCUGCGACUCACUCAAGGAGUUCUAAUAUGGGUGUCCCCCAAGAAGCUAACUCUGUUACCUCAGUAAGAAAUGAAGUGUCAGUCCUUAGGUAUCUCUGAGCUGCCUCCACUCAGGCUUUUGUGGGUGAGAAAGCUGUUGCUGUUUGGAGAGUAGCUCAUUUCCAGUAGAUUAACAUUUUAGCCCCUUUCAAAGAGGAGGCAGAAAGAGGAAUUGGGCCGACUGGAAAAUGGUUGGAGAAUUUCCUCCAAUGUUACCUUUGGGGCAAUGUAGUCUCUUUAUGAGCAGCAACCAUUUGUCACAGAAAACUGCCAACAAAUGCAUGGUAUCUCUUCUGUUCCAUCUCUCAGUGUGUGUUGAAAUAAAUACUAGAAAAUGGAGUACUAUGAAGUUAGAAAAAAGAAAGUAAUCUUACCAUUUGCAACAGUAUGGACAGACCUAGAGAGCAUUAUGCUAAGCAAAAUAAGCCAGUCAGAAAAAGAUAAAUAUCACAUGA